This 621-nucleotide long non-coding RNA is filed under the name Phasianus colchicus (ring-necked pheasant). RNAcentral describes it as "lncRNA (ENSPCLG00000020795.1)". The record is from RNAcentral. Lineage: Eukaryota; Metazoa; Chordata; Aves; Galliformes; Phasianidae.
UGAGCUGGCUGAUGUAAUGUUGCAGCUUAUUGGAAACACAUGCAGAUAUUUUUAUUUUUAUUUUCCCCCAGUAGAUUAAAGAGGUAGCGAUUUCUCUGUAGAAGCUGAGAUGUGUUUUUACUAUGUAGACCCAUGUUAGAGCUUUCUCUUCAACAUUUAUGAAAUGGACAUGUGGAGUAAAGAUACAGUUUGAGGUGCCACAUUAAGGAGUAAGAACAAAAAAGUGCACACUUCCGUGGGUUCUUAACUGGAAUGUAGUAUAAUGUUAUCCAGAAUUUUCUCAACUGGACAUGAAUCCCAUCUUAUCACUUACGUAAAAUCAGGAACUUCUAUACUGAAGGCGCAUCACAUGUUGUGUAGAAGAAAUGAAGUGUGCCAAACUAACAGAAAAAAAUCCAGAUCAUCUGUGAUGUAUCUUGACUUCAGAAAUAUUCUAAGAAAUACAAAGCAGUAGCUAACACUGAAAUUUAAAUGAAACGAAUAGUCAGUUUAUGGUGCAUUAUUAGAUCGGUCAUGUAAUUGCAGACCAUAAGUAGCUUUCUAACUGCAAAAUUAAAAGUAAUUUGUAUGCAGCACGUCCUUUAUGGUAUUGUUUGUCAAAGAUGCAAACAUGAAAGUUUU